GGUUGAUCCUGCCAGUAGUCAUAUGCUUGUUUAAAAGAUUAAGCCAUGCAUGUCUAAGUAUAAACAACUUUAUACUGUGAGACUGCGUACAGCUCAUUAAAUCAGUAAUUAUUUAUUUGAUGGUACCUUUCUACAUGGAUACCCGUAGUAAUUCUAGAGCUAAUACAUGCACAAAGACCCGACUCGCGAGGGAAGGGUUGUAUUUAUUAGAUUCGAAACCAAUGCGGGCUCUGCCCGGUUUGUGGUGAUUCAUAAUAACUGAUCGAAGCACAUGGCCUCCGCGCCGGUGCUAG
Molecule: ribosomal RNA, 293 nt
Filed under: uncultured eukaryote
Lineage: Eukaryota
Description: partial 18S ribosomal RNA
Rfam family: Eukaryotic small subunit ribosomal RNA
Source: RNAcentral